This 250-nucleotide ribosomal RNA is filed under the name uncultured prokaryote. RNAcentral describes it as "partial 16S ribosomal RNA". It matches the Rfam family "Bacterial small subunit ribosomal RNA", at positions 524 to 773 of the family's 1533-position model. The record is from RNAcentral.
UACGUAGGGGGCAAGCGUUAUCCGGAUUUACUGGGUGUAAAGGGAGCGUAGACGGCAUUGCAAGUCUAAUGUGAAAACCCGCGGCUCAACUGCGGGAUUGCAUUGGAAACUGUAGAGCUCGAGUACUGGAGGGGUAAGCGGAAUUCCUGGUGUAGCGGUGAAAUGCGUAGAUAUCAGGAGGAACACCGGCGGCGAAGGCGGCUUACUGGACAGUAACUGACGUUGAGGCUCGAAAGCGUGGGGAGCAAAC